AUGAACGCUGGCGGCGUGCCUCAUCCCUGCCAGUCGAGCGAACAGAUGAGGAGCUUGCUCCUCUGACGUUAGCGGCGGACGGGUGAGUAACACGUGGAUAACCUACCUAUAAGACUGGGAUAACUUCGGGAAACCGGAGCUAAUACCGGAUAAUAUAUUGAACCGCAUGGUUCAAUAGUGAAAGACGGUUUUGCUGUCACUUAUAGAUGGAUCCGCGCCGCAUUAGCUAGUUGGUAAGGUAACGGCUUACCAAGGCAACGAUGCGUAGCCGACCUGAGAGGGUGAUCGGCCACACUGGAACUGAGACACGGUCCAGACUCCUACGGGAGGCAGCAGUAGGGAAUCUUCCGCAAUGGGCGAAAGCCUGACGGAGCAACGCCGCGUGAGUGAUGAAGGUCUUCGGAUCGUAAAACUCUGUUAUUAGGGAAGAACAAAUGUGUAAGUAACUAUGCACGUCUUGACGGUACCUAAUCAGAAAGCCACGGCUAACUACGUG
Molecule: ribosomal RNA, 496 nt
Filed under: uncultured bacterium
Lineage: Bacteria
Description: partial 16S ribosomal RNA
Rfam family: Bacterial small subunit ribosomal RNA
Source: RNAcentral